GCGCCCGUAGCUCAGCGGCGGAGCGCCGGCCUUAUAAGGCUAGCGCUCUCACAUUUUUGUUUACUAAGCCUAAGAAAGCCGGCGGUCCCGGGUUCAAAUCCCGGCGGGCGCA
RNAcentral lists this transfer RNA (112 nucleotides) under Nautiliaceae bacterium. Its description in RNAcentral is "tRNA-Ile". It matches the Rfam family "tRNA". Rfam says of the family: Transfer RNA (tRNA) molecules are approximately 80 nucleotides in length. Their secondary structure includes four short double-helical elements and three loops (D, anti-codon, and T loops). Further hydrogen bonds mediate the characteristic L-shaped molecular structure. tRNAs have two regions of fundamental functional importance: the anti-codon, which is responsible for specific mRNA codon recognition, and the 3' end, to which the tRNAs corresponding amino acid is attached (by aminoacyl-tRNA synthetases). tRNAs cope with the degeneracy of the genetic code in two manners: having more than one tRNA (with a specific anti-codon) for a particular amino acid; and 'wobble' base-pairing, i.e. permitting non-standard base-pairing at the 3rd anti-codon position. Lineage: Bacteria; Pseudomonadati; Campylobacterota; Epsilonproteobacteria; Nautiliales; Nautiliaceae. The record is from RNAcentral.